This 460-nucleotide ribosomal RNA is filed under the name uncultured bacterium. RNAcentral's name for it is "partial 16S ribosomal RNA". It matches the Rfam family "Bacterial small subunit ribosomal RNA", at positions 338 to 795 of the family's 1533-position model. The record is from RNAcentral.
CCUACGGGAGGCAGCAGUGAGGAAUAUUGGUCAAUGGGCGCAAGCCUGAACCAGCCAAGCCGCGUGAGGGAGGAAGGUACAGAGUAUCGUAAACCUCUUUUGUCAGGGAACAAAGGCGGGUACGUGUCCCCGGAUGAGUGUUCCUGACGAAUAAGCAUCGGCUAACUCCGUGCCAGCAGCCGCGGUAAUACGGAGGAUGCGAGCGUUAUCCGGAUUUAUUGGGUUUAAAGGGUGCGCAGGCGGUCCGUUAAGUCCGCGGUCAAAGCCCGGGGCUCAACCCCGGGCCCGCCGUUGAACCUGGCAGUCUCGAGUUGGAGAGAAGUAGGCGGAAUGCGCGGUGUAGCGGUGAAAUGCAUAGAUAUCGCGCAGAACUCCGAUUGCGAAGGCAGCAUGCCGGCUCCAAACUGACGCUGAGGCACGAAAGCGUGGGUAUCGAACAGGAUUAGAUACCCCAGUAGUC